UUUACUGUAGCUCAGUGAUUAGAGCACUCGUCUAAUGAGCGGGAGACCUGGGUUCAAUUCCCAGCAGGCGAAA
Molecule: non-coding RNA, 73 nt
Organism: Callorhinchus milii (elephant shark)
Lineage: Eukaryota; Metazoa; Chordata; Chondrichthyes; Chimaeriformes; Callorhinchidae
Source: the annotation of a RefSeq genome assembly